UGAGAGUAUAAAAGGACAGUCCGUUUCCAGCUCCUCCAACAACUUCAAGAGAUCCUUUCUUCACAAAGCUGAUCUAACUCAACCUUAAACAAAAUGAGCCUCUACAGACACCAAAAAUACUGGGACCCAUGCCGCCGUGGAAGCUUCUCUUCUGGGAGCUGGUAUGGAGGUUCCGGCCAACGCAUCUGCUACUACCCAUCUUACGGCCGUAGCUACUGCCCACCGUACUAUUCUGGCGGUUAUGGUUAUGGUCGUAGUUACUACCCACCACAAUAUUAUGGGGGCUAUGGUCGUUGUUACUACCCACCGCAAUAUUAUGGGGGCUCUGGCUAUGGUGGCCUCUAUGGUCGUCGCUCCAGCUGCUAUGGAUUGGGAUACGGCUCGAGGCGUGGCAGCAUCUGUUACGACCCCUGUGGCUACGGUUCUGUGAAAUACUACCCGCUGUCUCGAAGGUACAGCUGCAGCAGCAUCUGUGGACCCUGCUAAAUUCUGGAGGCAAAUUUCAGUGAAAUGUUAAAUGACAACGUAGACCCAUGAACUCUCCAGCUGAACGUUUCCCCCCAGGAAUGCUGAUCACUAAAGAAUUUCCAUGGUUAUUACUGUGUGCUCAGCAAUUCUAUUAAUCAGUCCUAUGCCUGACUUUGCUCACACCAUGCUCUGCCUUUAAUAAAUGACUAGUUCUCUAACGAACUCUACCUGCAUGUCCAUGAAGCCCCAGUUUUUUCUGUUAUGUCCAUUUUAUCUUCUACAGGACAACCUGACAAUGGAAAUGUUCUUCAGUUUUCUGUCUGUGUUGUGUUAUUUGGACUGAAACCUGCAGUUGCUCAUUGUCGCAAUCCACGUUUUGUUCUCACAUUAAACGCUUGCUUCGCAUCACAA
Long non-coding RNA from Eublepharis macularius, 879 nucleotides. RefSeq lists it as uncharacterized. The transcript is spliced from 2 exons. The record is from RefSeq and is a predicted model, not a curated record. NCBI's taxonomy places the organism in Eukaryota, Metazoa, Chordata, Lepidosauria, Squamata, Eublepharidae.